Molecule: ribosomal RNA, 552 nt
Filed under: uncultured bacterium
Lineage: Bacteria
Description: partial 16S ribosomal RNA
Rfam family: Bacterial small subunit ribosomal RNA
Source: RNAcentral
UGGGGAAUUUUGGACAAUGGGGGCAACCCUGAUCCAGCCAUCCCGCGUGUGCGAUGAAGGCCUUCGGGUUGUAAAGCACUUUUGGCAGGGAAGAAACAGCCUGGGAUAAUACCCCGGGCGACUGACGGUACCUGCAGAAUAAGCACCGGCUAACUACGUGCCAGCAGCCGCGGUAAUACGUAGGGUGCAAGCGUUAAUCGGAAUUACUGGGCGUAAAGCGUGCGCAGGCGGUUCGGAAAGAAAGGUGUGAAAUCCCAGGGCUUAACCUUGGAACUGCACUUUUAACUACCGAGCUAGAGUACGUCAGAGGGGGGUAGAAUUCCACGUGUAGCAGUGAAACGCGUAGAGAUGUGGAGGAAUACCGAUGGCGAAGGCAGCCCCCUGGGAUGAUACUGACGCUCAUGCACGAAAGCGUGGGGAGCAAACAGGAUUAGAUACCCUGGUAGUCCACGCCCUAAACGAUGUCAACUAGCUGUUGGGGUUUAUUAACCUUAGUAGCGCAGCUAACGCGUGAAGUUGACCGCCUGGGGAGUACGGUCGCAAGAUUAAAAC